UGAAAUAGGUUAAAAGAACAGAGAAAUGAACAUCGUCCAGAAACAUUGAUCCUACAUUGCACUUAGUGAUAAGACUCCUGGGCUGCAGAUGAGGGAACUUACCUUUGCUUCUGGUCCUGCCAGGAUGGAGCUGUGUGACUUAGAAAGCCAUUUGCCCUCUCUGGUCUUAUUGUUUCAUCUUUCAAAUUAAAUGGCUUGGGAACCCAGGUGGGAAAUUAUUAUUUUAUUGUUGUUUGAAUGCUCAGUCCCUCUCCCUGUCCUUCCGGUAGUGAGACCCUUUGCUUCCCUUGGGGACCCUUCCUCUUCCAUGCUCACUUAUUUCAGACAGGGCUGUUCCAGGAGCUUGAGAUUUGGGAUCGCCUUUUUGGAAGCAGGUGUGGGAAAAGAGGCUCCCUUAUUACAUGGAGGGAUUACUAGAAAAAUGUUGAUAUUUUAAAGGUGACUAGCAGACCAAACUAGCUAUUGCUGCAUAACAAAUUAUUAUAGACUUAGUGGCUUAAAACUACGCACCUGUGUUCUCAGGGUCUCUAAGGGCCUGGGGAGUGAUAUGGCUUGGCUGGGUUCUGAGCAUGGCCACCUUCAGCACUGCCCUAGGCUGCCAUCAGGUGGGGACCAAGCUACAGAGCCUUCGGGGAGAGCUCCGCCCUCCACUGGCUCCCUCAGGUUUGGGGAAGGAUUUAUUUACUUCUAGCUACAGGGUGGGGGCUUCGGUUUCUGCCUGGAAGCUGCUCUCAGCAACCAGUUGGCCCACAGUUCCUUGCACAUGGCCUCUCUACCACAGUGAUCAUGCUGGCAUGGUCACCUGUACUGGUGACAGGAGGUUCCUGAGCCCUGUGAAUCAUCUGUGGAGGGAUUCUGUCGUGGGGGUGUGGGAGACAGUGGGGCACCGCAGGCUGCCAUCCAAGCCGCCUCCCCCAUCUCCCCGCAGGGCCUUCCUCCCCUAGCCUGGCAGCCUGGGGAGCUGACCUUUCGUAUCCAGGGCUCAUGGGUGAUGGGAACAGCAUGGAUCUUCUACUGGACAAACCUGGACUUGGGUCCUGGCUAGUGUUUGCCCAGCAGCCGUGACCCCGUGGCCCUGGUGUUCUCAGGGUCAGUGCAGGGAGAUCGACAGCCGUCACACCCUGCGGAGAGGGUCCACAUGUGGGUAUUAAAGAGCACUUGACUGUGUUUUUUAUUCUCCUGGGAAUUGGUGUCAGUCCUCCAAUCAGAUAUGCAAGAGGUCGAUAUUUUUCUUUACUUUUAUGGUAUUGGAGUUAUUUUCUGCUUUGAGCUCUCAACCCUGGGGAGAAUAGAAACAGACUGGCUCAGUGCCUUUCCUCAGUGUAAACUCCAGGUCGAGGAGGGCUUAUGUGGGGCCAUGGAGGGCUCUAGGGCUCAUGCUCCCUGGGGUCUCCUCCACCGGUAUUCCCGGUGGCCUUUGGCCACCCAUUCUGUGUGGCUCACAGUCGGGUGAAUCCCCCGGGACUUCAAGCCCUCUUUAGGUCCAGCUAGGGACUGCUCGGAUAGAAACCCUGCCAGUCAUCCUCAGACCUUUUUGUCACCUUUGAAGCCAACAGGGAUUAAAAUAGCUUAACCUAUGGGGCUCCUGUGAAAAUUAAUUGGGUUAUUACUUAGUGCUGGGAGCACACUGAGUCCUCAAUAAAUGAGAUUUACUUUAUCGUGCUGGAGUCGGGGGACACUGUUUGCUCUUCUGCCUGGCUCUUGGUCCCUUAGGCUCUUCCCAGGAAAGGCAGGACUUGGACCCUCUAGUCUUCUCUCCAAGAUGAGGGAUACAGAGGGCAGGGCCCAUGCCCGUCAGAAUCUGCGCGCUCUUGGCUUCCGUCUUGGGAGAGGUCCAGCUCUGGGAAUCUGCAUUAGUCUGGGAGACAGUGAGAGGGCAGGAAGCCUGGCUGCUCCCCAGCAUGCGUUCUCCCGAAGAAGCAUCUCCACCGGGCUCUGGAACUCGAAGCCAAGUACCAGCUCCUUUGAGGCUUUCUGCUCUGCUGUCCCAUCAGUGAGCCACAGAUACAGGUGCACAGUGGCAGAACGUGGGAGAUGCAGGGGUCAAGGAAGUCAUGAGAAGCCCUUUGUCAAUAUUCGCAGAAGUCAAUUCCCCCUGGUUCUCCGUGACCUGAAAGAAGGGCUUAAGUGACCCACCCAGAGCUGGCUGCACUCUGUUCCUGCCCAGGAAAUGCCCAACCUGCUGAACCCGAAUCUCGAGGCUUGUCCUCAGCAGAUGGCAUUGCUGGUCAUCUGAUGACCUUUGCAAAGAUCAGCAGGCCUGGGUGUGGAGGGCCAGGGAGUCAGUCAGCUCCAGCAUCCUGAACGUGUUCCUCUGGGGAUACAAGAUGUGCAUCAUGGGCAGCGUGGUGGGUAGACUACGAAGAGAAUUCAAAUUGAAAAAGUCACAUUGAAGAGUGAUGCCAUUCUGCCACCUUGUGGUAAUUUCCUGUGGAUUUUUUUUUUCCAUGCUGUGGCCUGAAACCUAGGGGCUGCCAGGGACCACUGACUUUCUUGAAAAAGACAAAUGGUUAGUCCUGCACAAUGUUGGACUGAUGACCAUUCUAGUUUCUAUGAAGGACAGAUAAAUAGGGGGCCGAUCAUUAAGAUCAGUCUUGAAGGCCAGGUCCCAUUCUAGCUACUCGGGAGGCUGAGGCAAGAGGGUAUUAAGUUCAAGGUUGGCCCGGGGAACUUAGUGAGACCCUGUCUCAAAGUAAGAAACAAAAAGGACGGAACAUGUAGCUCAGUGGUAAAGUGUCUUUGGGUUUAAUUCCAAGUGCCCCCCACCAAAAAAAGAUUAGUCUUGGAGGUAUAUAAUGACUUCAGAUAGUCACUGAAUGAACAAUUGUUUAAUUAUUUCUCUGUAUCCAUGAAGCAGUGCUAGGCUCUGGGGGAAAAUACAAAUAUGGUCUCUGCCCUUAAUGAGCUUAAAAUAUGUGCCAGAGUAAGGACAGUUUAUACACAGACCUAAAUGAUAAGGAAAAUCCUAAGUAUGCAUCAUAAGCUCCCUGGGCAAAUGGAAGGAAGUCAGUCACAGCACUGGAACCGGAGAGCAGGCUGCUGAGGGAGAUGGCGUUGGCUCCCAGGGGUCACCAGAUACCCCAGAUGGGGAAAGGAGGCACACGAAAGGGUCACGUGGUAGAAAAACCACUGGACUCACAGCACAGGACAGCAGGACACACACUUUUCUGCUCGUGUGCGUCUACAAAGAAGUGAGCCUCCAUCCCAAAGUAUUUUAUUUAUGAAACGUGGCAUGUACCACGGAAGACACGGAAGAAGAGGAGAGUAAGGUGAUAACAGUAGGACUGUCUCCCUGGUGUUUCCUCCGGUGUCCCAUCCUGCCUUGAGGAUGGCUGCGCAGAGGGAGACGGAGGGACAAGGGUGACAGACGCUGCAGGGCACAGUGCUGCACAGGCCGCCAAAAAGUGGACCCAGGUGAGGUGUGGAUGUGAGGAAGGGACAGACCCAGAGGUGGAACUAGAGAAUUGCCAGGGGUUUAAAGAGAAAGACCUGUUCAAGGCCGUUCUGAGCGUAGACUUAUUUUAAGAUCUUCCUUUUGGGAGACGGUGGAGAAUCAUUCCCUGAGAAUCUAGGAGCACCGGCAGGUUUCUGGAGAAGGGCAUGAGUUCAUUUGGCAUAAGCUAAGUUCCGAGUCCCCGUGGAGUCUGCUGAUCUGUCCACAGGAAUCUGGAAAUUUAAAUUCAGAAAAGAAGCUGGGAACAGAGAGGGUCAUGUGGGUCAGAGGUGAUGCCAAACUGUGGGAGCAAGUGAAGAGGCCCGGGAGAGAGCAUGAAAGAGGAAACCAGAGCAGGGACAGCCCCCCAAGGAUGCUGACACCGGGGUGUUGUGGCCUGAGAAACAGACUUUGAGAUGGAGAAUUGCAACAGGAGAUGUGAGGGGGCACAUCAGGACCAAGGCCUGCAGGGAGUGAAGGGUGCCGCGGGGUGGAGGGGGAAGUUGAGCUGGGGUGUGGCUCCAGUGGAGGCCUCCGCAGAUCCCACGAGGAGCUCUGAAUCCAGGAUGGCCUUUGGGGGGAGGCUAAGGGUGCUGGACUGGCUCUGUCGGGCUCCUACCAGCCGGGUCCUGGGCCGAGUUCAUCCCCUGCCUCCUCACUCAGAGCUGUCAUUUGGAUCUUGAAGUAGCACAACGGGCAUAUUUACACCAAGGAAAUUGCCCAACAUUACAGACCUGGACUUUCUUCCCCCAGAAAACUGUCUGUUGAAAUAUUUACCAGUGUACACAUUUACAUCCCUAAUCAGGUAAGAGGACUAACAAAUCCUGGGUGUGGGCUGCCCCUGGGACGGAUGUCGCCUUGGGCAGGGGAGCCCAUCGCUGAGGACCCUGCCUGGGGAAGCAGGCCGUGGAGAGCCAGCAGAGAGCAGUUCCUGCAUCUGGGGCAGUCGGUGCCUCGGCCAUGCCAGGGGAACAGGGAGAGCACCGCUUGGCACCCACCACAGUCCACCUUGUGCCCAUCUGCUCCAGACAGUAAGCUCCUCUCUUUUGCUGGGGACCAGGGGAGUAAUGUGGAUCUUCUCUGCUACCGUCUUGAAGUGACAGCAAGAGAGCGCCAUGACCUGCAGGAGGCACAGUUCCCCCCCCCCCUUGCUGCACUAUCCCAGUGGGGCUUCCCCCAUCAGGGAUGGAACAUCCUGGUCAUCAGGCCCUUCUCAGCCUGCAGCUUCUCCUGUGGUCCAGUUACCAUCAGAACUGGGCAGGGACACUCAGAACCACCCUCACGGGCCUCCAGUGUGCAGAAAACCUGACAAGCAAGAUGUGAAGGAGCAAAGCUUCUUUUGGCUCACAGUCUCAGAAGUCCAGUCCACAGUUGGCCGACUCCAUCGUCUGGGCCCCGGUGAUGCAAAUAUCAUGGUGGGAGGAUGUGGCAGAGGAAAGCAGCUCAGGACACGGCAACCAGGAAGCAGAGAGUCCCUUCACCAGGGACAAAAUACAAGCCCCAAAGGCACAUCCCCAGUGGCCUACUUCCUCUGUCACACCCCACAGUCACUGCCCACUUAAUCCAUAUCUGUGGAUUAAUCCAUGAAUCAGGUUACACCGCUCAUCAUCUGAUCAUUUCACCUCUGAAAAUUCUGACAUUGUCUCACCUAUGAGCUUUUGGGGGAUUCCUCAUAUCUGAACCAUAACAGAGAGAAAUUAGAUGAAGAUGAAAUUGA
This is a long non-coding RNA of Marmota monax (woodchuck), 5150 nucleotides long. RefSeq lists it as uncharacterized. The record is from RefSeq and is a predicted model, not a curated record. NCBI's taxonomy places the organism in Eukaryota, Metazoa, Chordata, Mammalia, Rodentia, Sciuridae. The transcript is spliced from 3 exons.